Sapajus apella (tufted capuchin) is the source of this 3236-nucleotide long non-coding RNA. RefSeq lists it as uncharacterized. The record is from RefSeq and is a predicted model, not a curated record. Lineage: Eukaryota; Metazoa; Chordata; Mammalia; Primates; Cebidae. The transcript is spliced from 3 exons.
GACUGUUUUCCAGGCCACUCUUCUCUCUGUCUUAUUUGCAGGUUCCUUCUUUGGCCCUUGUUUCUAAGGGUUUUCCACUUUUUUCUUAUUGUUCCCUCUAUUCUCUCCCUCUCUCUCCAAUAUACCUUGGGAUGCUUCACUUCGAAUUAGCUUUUCUUCCCUCAAACCCACUUCCUUUUGUUCCCAAUUUAGAUCCAUGCCAACUCCCAGCAGAAACCACCAGUCAUUUUGACCUCCUUCCUGCAACUCCCUCUACAGCCUCAUCUCUUAGCACUCCUCCUGUGCAGCCAGGCGGCCCAUCUAACCACACCACAGUUCUCCCUCGAGCAUGGCCCACAGCUUUGAUAUCCUUAUACAAUGGUGCCCUUCCUUUACAUCGCUCUUAACCUUCAGAUGUCCACUCAAGUGCCACAUACUUUGUGAGGCUUUUCUUCAUCUUCCUAAGAAUACUCAUUUCCUCCCCGAUGUUCCCAAACCACUUUGUGUACGCCAGUGACGCAGCGUUUACCAUCCCGGCACCUCUGGUACCUUUGAACAGUCCCACCCCACUUCAUUUCUGUUUCUGUCUUCAUUACUCCUUGAAGGAAGAGGCUGUCUUGCAUUCCCCACGACGUCCUAGCUCACAGUGCGUCUCCAAAGACGUCCGCUUUGUUGAACUAAUCCAACUGUCUGGUAAGGUUUAUAUAGAAUCAUCAUUAGAAAUAAGGCUUAUAUUAAGUCAUUUUUGAGUCCUCUUGCACACUAAUCAUUCAUUAUGUAAGACCACAAAAUAAAACUCGAGGUGAUUAAUAUGACACUAUUUUUUUCUUCCUAAAAUAAGUGUUUUCACAAAAUAAAACUCUUUAAAGUUCUCAUCCACUGAAAGUUACCUGCACUGAACAAAUAAAAGAGAUUCUCUUGAGAACACCAGUUUCCCAAGUCAGCCAACUGCUUACUGUUGCUUUCUUGACUCCUCCUUUAAAAGUCCAAAAUGACAAAUUAUCUCACAGGUCCCUGAGCAAAUAUUUCAUUGCUUUCUGAAAUGUCAGUGCUGUGUCUAUUCCUACUUAGGUUUGCCUCGUUCUAAACCAACGGAAAUAUCUCUUCCUGCCAGCUGACAUUUUGUUUUAUAAAAUUCUUUUUAUCCUUUCUUAUUUUCCAGAAUAUAAUUUCUUUGAUGAGCCUCUCCUUAUUUCUAAACUUUGGGGAAUUAAACUCUCUGUAAUUUCAUUAUCCCAUUGAAAGGCAGGAAGAAGCAGCUAAGCUCCAAAGAAGAUGGCAAUAAAAGUGAAAACUGGAGAAACCAGAGCCAAAGACAUUUCCAAAGGUUUAAUUUCCAAAGAUAGAAUUGGGGGUCUGCAAGCAUAAAUAUUUAUGUUGUUCUUGAUACAUAUUCCCAAACUGUCUCUAAAAGUAUUGCACAAAUUUCACUGCCACCAAUAUUCUAGGACAAGAACCUGUAACUCGCCAAGCUGCAGACGGCAGGAACAAAAGAGUUGUAACACUACUGUUUGCCAAGCUGCGGGUAGCAGGAACAAAAGAGCUGUAACCCACUCAUUCACUGAGCUGCAGAUGGUAGGAAUAAAAGAGUUGUAACCCUUCCUCCCGCUCACCAGACUAUGGGAACGAAGAAGCCAUAAUACUAACACUAGCAAUUUCACUGCAAGUAAAACUGGUUGUCUUCACAUAACUAAUUGUCUUCAGAUAACAUCUUAUUCCCUAUAGAAUUAAUUGAGCCAACCUCAGAUAUCUUAAGAAAAAAUAUAUAUUAAAUUCCAAAUACAGUCAUUAUUCAGUUGCUAAUAAAUGACUGUUGUAGUUCUUCAUUCCAGGUUCUUCAAAUCCUUUGGUUGUAAAAUAGAAAGCUGUGCCUUAUAUUUCUAUCAUGGACAUAAAAUUUUCAACUGCCAUUAUAGGAGACGAUUGUGUAAAUUUUUUUAACUAUGAAUAAUAUUUUCUUUAAUUGAUCCAAAUAAAAUGUUUACUUUUUAAAACUAAGCGAGUAGUGCAUCAUGAAUUUAUCUUUUGGUUUACUCUCCUCUAACGCCCUGAGUCACUGGCAGCUUUGGGACAAACAACUUGGCUUUUCUCACUUGAGAGAAAUCUAUACUUCUUAUUGUGAAUGCUUGUCACUUUAAUAUGAGGUAAACAUUUUCUCCCAAAACAGGAAAUGGGAGGUCACACUAUUAUGGCUAUAAAGAAAAAUGAAAAAUGCUACAAAAAUGAAGGCAUUAAAAAAAUGAUCAUGAGCUACUCUCAUAAUAAAAAAUAAACUUUCAUUUUGUGUCCUUUGACACACAGCAUAAUGAAGCAGGCAUGAACAGCUCAGAGUGAUCUAAAAAUCACCAAGUAUAGUUUUCUACUGUAUCAAAAAGGUGUUAUUUUUAGCACCUGAAAGCCCGAAUCAUCAAUAAUUGGCAUUUUAAUGUGAAAGUCAUCAAGACCUGUUUAUUUAAAUGAUCUUUGAUCAAUUCCCUGCCAAGUCUAAUUUGUUUCCCUGUCCUUCAGCCACAUGGUUUCCUAUUCCAUUUUCUAAAUGAGAGACUAUAUUUUACUAUGAAGGCAAAAUUUUCUUUAAAGACAACUGAAUUUUGUUUUUAGUUUAGAACCAAUCCUCUUUUCCUUUGCAUCUAAUAAAGAGGAUGUGUUUUCUCAGUCUUGUUUUCUUCUCACACAUACAUAAAGAAUAUUCUGUCCCUUAGUGUAUUUUACCUUCCAGUCACCAUAUAUUUCCUGGUUUCAUCUUUUUAUGCCAUCAUUGAUAUGCCUUAUUUCUGGUUUAAUACUUACUCUAAUUCCUAAUCUUCACUCUUGGGCAUUUUAAAUGUGCAGCUCUGUGUAGCUACCUGGGUUUCAUCCUGUUCUCUUCAAUCUUGCCAUCCUUAUAAAUAUUGUUGCUUUAAGAAAUAAUCUAAUUUUCAUGGUCCUUCCACUUGCAUGACAUUUUCCAAUAAUAUAUUUAAAUUAUUACACUUGACUCUCCUGAAAUUCGUUUUCUUUAGGUUGCUUUUCCACUUCUUUAGUAGUCUUUGUGUAAACAUCAAUCUUUAAGUGCAUUUUCUUUAUUAACUUACAUGUUCACUUAAGAAAUAGCUCUAGUCUGAAGGUCAAAAGUCAGAAGUAGCUAAAUACUAGCACAAUCUCACCUCCCUUUUUGCUCUGUCUCUAUUUUUUGUCUCUCUCCACAGACCCUACUCACUGGUAUUUCUGCCUGACCAUGUUCAGGAUAUACUCUCCCACCUUUGAAUUAAUAGACU